RNAcentral lists this ribosomal RNA (253 nucleotides) under uncultured bacterium. RNAcentral describes it as "partial 16S ribosomal RNA". It matches the Rfam family "Bacterial small subunit ribosomal RNA", at positions 524 to 776 of the family's 1533-position model. The record is from RNAcentral.
UACGGAGGGUGCGAGCGUUAUCCGGAUUCACUGGGUUUAAAGGGUGCGUAGGCGGUCUGAUAAGUCAGUGGUGAAAGCUCUCGGCUUAACCGGGAAACUGCCAUUGAAACUAUCGGACUUGAGUACAAUUGGAGUGGGCGGAAUACAUCAUGUAGCGGUGAAAUGCUUAGAUAUGAUGUAGAACACCAAUCGCGAAGGCAGCUCACUAAAUUGUAACUGACGCUGAGGCACGAAAGCGUGGGUAGCGAACAGG